GUUAAACCGACAUGAAACAAGUAUAUAUUCCCUCAAUUUCUACCGAAACCAAUUCUCCAGUCUGCCAAAUCACAUACCGACAUACGCCACCCAUUAUCAUUUACCAACAAUCAGUCAUCCCCAACAAUCUUUCACAAGCAAUUCGAUUGACAAGCAGGUAGUAUUUCUUAAAGCAUAUACCAAGCAAUAACACCAACUUUCUUUAGCAUCUAGAGUAAUUUUUACAAGAAAUUCCAGUUUUACAAGGAGUUAAUAACUGAGUAUAUACAAAAGAAGAAUAGCUGGAAUAGAUGAAAUUCGAACAGCCACAGUAAAACCAAGGCUGCCUCGUCGGACCGGUGACGCCUGCCGCCGGCGAUGUUCAUCGAAGACCAUCGAUUUCUGAAAUCAAGAGUUUUAAGUCAGAAAAACAAAUAGAAUAGAAAGAGAAAAAAAAGGGGGAUAGAACAGGGGGUGGGGGACGGCAGCAGCCGCGAGCCACCGCGGCGGAGGCGCGACUGGCGGCUGCGACCGCCGGUGCUGCCCUCGCCAUGCCAGUCCGCGGUGACUGCUAACAAAGAGAGAGGGAGUUUGAACGAGAGAGAGAGACUGUGAUACAGACAGAGAGGGCAGAAAGAGAGAUCGAGAGGCAGAGAUAGAAAAAGAGAGAAAUAGGGGGCUUACCUGAGUUAGAGGGGCGGCAGCGCGACAGAGACGACGGCGGUGGAGGCAGGCCUCGCCGGAGAGACGAAUUCCAGAGGGGAAGAAGGGAGGUAGAAACCCUAAGAAUUAGAUUUUAUGAUUUGGACAUUUUAGAAAUUGGGAAUAAAAUAGGGAAGAAAGAAAAGGAGGGGGAAGGAGAGGGCCGGCCUCGCCGCGCCGGAGGCGGGGAGGACCGGCGACAUCUGCCGGAGGAGAGAGCGAGAGAGAGAGACGGUAGAGAGAAAAGACAGAGAAUGGCAGAUUUAAGAGGAGAGGGAGCGUGAGGACUGGGGAGGUGCUUAUAUGUACUGCUAGAGGGAAAGAGAAUUUAAGCUUUGGUUUUAUUAGUUAUACUUACUCUAAUGGGUUUUGAUAAUUUGGGCCCAUUUCUUAUUAUACGUAUUUGGGUUGAUUAAUGGAGUGGUGGCUUUGGUUAGCCUUAAUUUAUUAUUGG
This 1135-nucleotide long non-coding RNA is filed under the name Salvia miltiorrhiza (redroot sage). Its description in RNAcentral is "long non-coding RNA (SMIL_LNC011060)". Lineage: Eukaryota; Viridiplantae; Streptophyta; Magnoliopsida; Lamiales; Lamiaceae. The record is from RNAcentral.